GAUGCACCCGCCUUGGCCUCCCAAAGUGCUGGGAUUACAGGCGUGAGCCACCACGCCCAGCCACAUUCUCCCCUUUUGCCUUUUACUAAUUGAACCCUUCUGAAUUUCAGUUGGGCACUUAGCUAAAGACUACAUUUCCCAGGCUCCCUUGCAGCUCAACCUGGUCACAUGAUGAGGUUCUGACCAGUGGGCAUGAGAUGUGCAGCGGGCAACAUCUGGAUAGAUCUUUGUCUUCUCAGGAAGUUGGGUGACCCUCAGACUCUCUCCUUCCUGGCUGCCUGGAACGGGACUGUGAUAGUCAGGUGAGGACAGUUUACUUAGAGCAAAGCAGAGCCUUGCAUAGAAGGAGCCAGGUCCCUGGUGACCUGGGGCAGAGCUGUCCUACCCACUGGACGGUUUACCAGCUUCACUCAUUUGUUUGUGAGAAACAAAAAAAACUUUCUGUCUUGGGUGAGCUACCAUGACUUGGCUUCCAUUUAAGAAAUAGGAUCCAUAUCCUAAUACAGGAGGCCUUUGUAAACUGGGUCAGUCAGAAUCUGUGUUUGGCUGCUGACAGAGCACUGGCCACAGCAGGAGGUGGGCAGCCCCGGGCUAGUGUGGCCAGGAACCCAGGGGGACUCCUUCUAUCUUGCUUUUUUUUUUUUUUGCCAUCCUUAGUGGAUAGGUUUCAUCCUCCAGGUCACAGAAUGGCUGCUGAAGCACCAGCCCUCGCAUUCCCCUUUUAUUCAGGAAUAAGGGGAAGGGCGAGAGGCAAAGGUGGGCCUCCUCUCAGCUUUUAGAGAUAGCCCAGAAGCCUCUUUCACUGAUUUCUGCUUUCGUCUCUCUGGCUACCCCUAUCUUCAAAGAGUUCUGUUGCUAAAGCAGAAAGGACAGUAUGUCUUGAGAGGCAACGUGGAAGCCUUGCACAGAGGGGAAAAUUCACAAAAGAGAAUGCUGUUAGCUUUGGCCACAAAGCACCAAAACCAGGACUUGUAAAGCCUUUCAGUGGCACCAGUGCCCAGGUUCUUCCCCAGCCCUGGGGGCUGACUCCCCAUCUCCCCUGAGCUCAGACACAGGGGUGGGGUGCAUCCUGUCCCCCACACCCAGGCCCCGGGCAUGCAGCCUCCUGUGAGGCAGCGUGGUGCAGAGCAGGGAGCCCGGGCAUUGGAAUCAGACCAACCUGGAGGAACUCCCAGCACAGAGGACUGGGGUUCCCUGGCUGUGUGGCUUUGGGCAAGGCUCCCAACCUCUCUGAUCCACCACUUCCUCAUCGGUCACAGAUGCUCAGAAAACAAUAGCCAAGGUCCUUACAGCUGCUCCGCGACAAAGUGCAGUGGGGCAGAUGUGGGGCGUGAAGGCCUGGGUUUCAGGCGGCUCCAGCGGGUUCCACGCCUCCCUGCAGCCGCAUUCACUGGAUGUCUGCCUUGCUGGCUGAGCCCAUCUGUUAGUUUUCUUACAAAUUGCCACUCAGUUGGCUUCACCCAAGGCCUGUUACCCAAAAUAACGUGAGUGAUUGCCCAGCGAAUGCAGGGUCAAUACUCAUCACGCUCUCCUUGACCACAGCCCCUCGGAGCCAGGGCUGGGGCUUGGAGGAGUCAGGAGAGGUGGAGACCCUGGAUUGCGCUCCCACCGCAGUGUCUGGGGACGAGAGGGGCUGCCUGCCUGGAAACCAGCUUGAGCCCUUUAUGGUUUCCUGUUGGUGCCUCCUUGACACAGGGCACAGGUUCAAGGCCCUCCCGUCUCUACCUGGAGCUGUCUCCAGCCUGCUGCCCACCCUCGGGGCAUGAGCGGAGGAACAUGUGUCCCCACAGUGCCCAGGCCUGGGCUGCUGGUGGGAAUGAUGGUCUUUCCAGGACAGCAGGGAGGCCCACCCCACUGGGAAGCAGGAGGGAGAGUCCUUGGACUUGGGGGUUGGAGUUCAGGCUCUUGUUUUAUGAUGGCGAAAUGGAGGCCCCGAGAGGCCCAGAGACUAACCCAUAGGCCCGUGGCAGAUUCGUGCCUGAGAUGACCGUGGGUCCCAGGCCUCCUCUUUCCCUUCCAGGGCAUCCUGGCCUGAGGCCCACGGAUCCUUUGGUGAUCCAUGAGUGGGCCUCAGUGGGUCUUGUAUCCAGCUGAUGUGUCUGUGCUUUCUACAGAGGGCCCUUGGAUGGCAUCAGAGCUUACAGGGUGCCCCGACCGGUGAUGAACCAUGAGAGACCUUCUAGCAGUACCGUGCUGGCCGCCUUCGCUUCUCAGCUGCCCCUCGGGGCAUGUUGUGCCCCACCGGGAGCCAUGGAGGGAAGCUGUGGGAAUGUCCACCUCUGCGUCCUGUCCUGUCAAGGUCCUGGGUCUCUCCCAAGCUGGAUCUAGGUGGUCCCUGGGCGCAGGCUGUGGGAAAGAAAGCCUGGGAUGGGAGUGGGGGCCAUUCACAGGUCUUUUGUUCUGCCACGAAGACCCGAACCCUCUUCAGAUCCCAGCCUGUCCUUCCCGUGUCGUAAGGGCCCCAAACCAAAGGGGGCCCUCAGGCUUGGGUCAGACACACAGGGUCUGGUCUCCAUCCUCAGCAGCGAUGGCUCCUUGGGCAGCUGGCUCAGGUACUCCAAGCCUCUGUUUUCGUGUUUGCAAAUGGGAAUGCCGUUCAGAAUUCCAGAAGCCUGGAGAGUAUCUGCCAGGGCCCCGCGCUAGGCACAGGGGCCCAGAAGUGGAUUCCAGGGUCCCUGCCUGGGGGGGGGCCCAGUCCGGCCAAGGGAACAGCUGUGUCUGGAGAAGCAGUGUACUCUCUGGGGCACCCAGCACAUGAGGGCACCGUCCUGGAGACCAGAAUUCUGGACAGCGCUGGCGGCAACAGUCCCAUCCUCUGAGGAGCCUGGGUCCAGCAGGAGCGAUGCCAGAUCCAGACCAGGAGCGGAGACCGAGUUGCAGGGUUGGUUCUGGGGACCACAAGUCUGAGCCCCAGGCGUCAGGAGGGCUGUGCCCCUCCAGAGGCUCUAGAGGAGAACCCAUCCUGACCCCUCCAGCUUCUGAUGGUCGCCAGCAGUCUGGGGCUGGAGGCCACAGGGUGCCAGCCGAGUGCCCACCUUCUCCUUGGCUUCACACUGCCCUCCCUCUAAUGGGAAGAUCGAGGCUCUGAGAGAAGACAUCCACGAUGGAGCAGCGGGCAGGGGGAGGAGGCCCACAUGUCUCAGCCGGGUCUCCACCCCCACAAUGCUGCACUCUGUUCAGAGAGAAGGAAUUGCUCCUGCCAUAACAUGAGCUGGACAGGAGACCCUCUGCUGGAUACAGCCCACCUUUUCACAGAGGGAAUAUUUUUCUCUUCGUAGUUGGAAGGGAACCCCUAGCUGGCACCCUGCCCUCAGGGGGUGCCUGGCAGUGGCCACUGAUGAAAACAUGGGCUAAAAAGCACUAAAACAACAACAUGCUGGAGAUCAGGGGAAGGGCCAAUUAUUUUCAAUCAGCAGAUCCAGGAAGACUGCCUGUAGGAGGAGACAUUGGAACUGAGCAUGAAGGAUGGGCCUAGAGACCAGGGCACACAGAAGGUUACACCUCAGCCUGUGCAGCGCAGGGAGGGGCAGGUGACCGGCACUGAUAAAUUCAAAGUGAACAGAAGUGACAG
Macaca mulatta (Rhesus monkey) is the source of this 3571-nucleotide non-coding RNA. NCBI's taxonomy places the organism in Eukaryota, Metazoa, Chordata, Mammalia, Primates, Cercopithecidae. The record is from RefSeq and is a predicted model, not a curated record.